AGAGAGAGACAUGCGCGCAUAUCAAUAAGCGGAGGAAAAGAAACUAACUAGGAUUCCCUCAGUAACGGCGAGUGAAGCGGGAAGAGCUCAAAUUUGAAAUCUUCAAGGUUCUACCUUGACGAAUUGUAGUUUAAAGAAGUGUUUUCUGUUGGAGUUUUGGUAAAAGUUCUUUGGAAUAGGACAUCAUAGAGGGUGAGAAUCCCGUAUUUGACCAUUAUUUCCAGCUUUGUGGAUACACUCUCAAAGAGUCGGAUUGUUUGGGAAUGCAGUCCAAAAUGGGUGGUAAAUUUCAUCUAAAGCUAAAUAUUGGCGAGAGACCGAUAGCGAACAAGUACCGUGAGGGAAAGAUGAAAAGAACUUUGAAAAGAGAGUUAAACAGUACGUGAAAUUGUCAAAAGGGAAGCGUUUGACACCAGUGCUGUUUUCUCGAAAAUCAAUUAAAGAAGCAUGAUUUAUGCUAAGUUGUAUUAGACUUUAUCAGCUUCUGCACUCGUUUCUUGAGCUUUUCUUUAAUGCACUUUUCAGUUAACAAGUCAACAUCAAUUUCUUUUGUUGUAAAAGGGUCAUUGGAAGGUGGCUUUCUUUUCGGAGAAAGUGUUUAUAGCCUUUGGCCUCUGCAAUCGGAGAGAUUGAGGUCUGCAGCGUAGAUCCUUCGGGGUUAGAUACAUUUGUGCUAAGUUAUAGCCUUUCAUAGACAACUUGUUGACUAUGAUCAGUCAUGUAGCUUACUCGCUUAUGCUAUUUUACCUACGCUUAGGAUGUUGAUGUGAUACUGCGAGCA
This 781-nucleotide ribosomal RNA is filed under the name uncultured Neocallimastigales. Its description in RNAcentral is "partial large subunit ribosomal RNA". It matches the Rfam family "Eukaryotic large subunit ribosomal RNA", at positions 23 to 646 of the family's 3401-position model. Lineage: Eukaryota; Fungi; Neocallimastigomycota; Neocallimastigomycetes; Neocallimastigales. The record is from RNAcentral.